GGUUGCUCAUUCACUCAGUUAUAAAUGCUUUUGCGGUUUCACCGCAAUUCACGCUCAUAACCACUAGAAUGACGCCGUAGAAAAGGUGCCUAUCGUUCACUACUCCGAUAUCGUUGCUUCGGCAAUCUUAUCAAACAUCGAACGACACGUUGAGUGAGGCACCACCUC
This 168-nucleotide small RNA is filed under the name Rouxiella silvae. RNAcentral's name for it is "Glm Y RNA activator of glmS mRNA". It matches the Rfam family "Glm Y RNA activator of glmS mRNA". From Rfam's summary of the family: This family consists of a number of bacterial RNA genes of around 167 bases in length. The record is from RNAcentral. Lineage: Bacteria; Pseudomonadati; Pseudomonadota; Gammaproteobacteria; Enterobacterales; Yersiniaceae.